AUGUACAGCUUCAAGGUGAAGCCCUGCUCCCGCGCCUACUCCCACGACUGGACCGAGUGCCCCUUCGUGCACCCCGGCGAGAACGCCCGCCGCCGCGACCCGCGCCGCUACUCCUACAGCUGCGUGCCCUGCCCGGAGUUCCGCAAGGGCGGGUCGUGCCGCAAGGGCGACGGCUGCGAGUACGCGCACGGCGUCUUCGAGUGCUGGCUCCACCCGGCGCAGUACCGGACGCGCCUCUGCAAGGACGAGCUCCGCUCCGUCAACCCAUCCGCCGUCUCCGUGGGCAUGAUGCAGCCCGUGUCCCCGCGCUCCUCGCCCCCCAACGGGAUGGACAUGGGGAUGCUCAACCCCGCGGGGUGGCCGUCGUCUCCGGUCAGCCGGCUCAAGACGGCGCGGGAGCUCGACUUCGACCUGGAGAUGCUCGCGCUGGACCAGUACCAGCAGAAGCUGUUCGACAAGGUGUCCAACAACGCGCACUCGCCGAGGGCAAGCUGGGGCGCGCCCAACGGCGGCCUCGGCUCGCCGCACGCCGCCGGGUCGCCCGCCAGAAACAUGCCGGACUACACCGACCUGCUCGGCUCCAUGGACCCGGCCAUGCUCUCCCAGCUCCACGCGCUGUCGCUGAAGCAGGCGGGCGACAUGUCGCCGUACAGCUCCAUGCCGGACACGCAGCUGCACAUGCCGACCUCGCCGAUGGUGGGCGCGAACAACUCGUUCGGCAUCGACCACUCCAUGGCCAAGGCCAUCAUGACCUCCCGCGCCUCCGCGUUCGCCAAGCGUAGCCAGAGCUUCAUCGACCGCGGCGCGCGCGCCCCGGCCGCGCGCUCCCUGAUGUCGCCGGCCACCACGAUCGGCGAGCCUUCCAUGCUCACGGACUGGGGCUCUCCCAGCGGCGGCGGCAAUCUGGACUGGGGCUCGCCCGGUGGCAAGCUGGACUGGGGCGUGCAGGGCGACGAGCUGCACAAGUUCCGCAAGUCGGCGUCCUUCGGGUUCCGCGGGCAAUCCGCCAUGCCGGCGGCCUCCCCAGCCACCCCGGCCGAACCCGACGUCUCAUGGGUGAACUCUCUUGUCAAGGAUGGCCACACAGGCGACCAUUUUCCGCAGUGGCUGGAGCAGGAGCAGAUGGUGGCCUAA
This 1134-nucleotide ribosomal RNA is filed under the name Triticum aestivum (bread wheat). RNAcentral describes it as "partial small subunit ribosomal RNA". The record is from RNAcentral. Lineage: Eukaryota; Viridiplantae; Streptophyta; Magnoliopsida; Poales; Poaceae.